UUUCCGUAGGUGAACCUGCGGAAGGAUCAUUAAUGAGUUGUCAUGGGGUUCGAUGCUGGCAGCCAAUUUUUGGAUGCAUGUGCUUGCCCUAACAAUCAUCUUCCAAACACCUGUGCACAUUUUUGAGGGAGUCUUGAGUUGGUUGCUGCUCUUGGGUGAUUUUCUCACAUUCCCUUAAAUCAUUAUACGCUAUUAACAAUGUUGAACGUGCUCUGUGCCGCAAGGCUAUUAAUAUAAUACAACUUUUAACAACGGAUCUCUUGGCUCUC
RNAcentral lists this unclassified non-coding RNA (269 nucleotides) under plant metagenome. RNAcentral describes it as "partial contains small subunit ribosomal RNA, internal transcribed spacer 1, and 5.8S ribosomal RNA". The record is from RNAcentral.